This 301-nucleotide ribosomal RNA is filed under the name uncultured bacterium. RNAcentral's name for it is "partial 16S ribosomal RNA". It matches the Rfam family "Bacterial small subunit ribosomal RNA", at positions 509 to 807 of the family's 1533-position model. The record is from RNAcentral.
CAGCCGCCACGGGAAUACGGAGGGGGCUAGCGUUGUUCGGAAUUACUGGGCGUAAAGCGCACGUAGGCGGCUUGGUAAGUUAGAGGUGAAAGCCCGGAGCUCAACUCCGGAAUUGCCUUUAAGACUGCCGAGCUAGUAGGUGAGAGAGGUAAGUGGAAUUCCGAGUGUAGAGGUGAAAUUCGUAGAUAUUCGGAAGAACACCAGUGGCGAAGGCGGCUUACUGGCUCAUUCUAGACGCUGAGGUGCGAAAGCGUGGGGAGCAAACAGGAUUAGAUACCCCCGUAGUCCCUGUCUCUUAUAC